AAAAAUUUUAUGGAAUACAAUUCAAAAAUCAUUUUGUUUUGAUCAUUUCUUCCAUUUUUGAAUUGUAUCGAAUUCAUUUUCUAUUUUAAAGUGAACAGUGACCUUAUAAAACUUUUUUUUGACCUUCAUUAAGUUUUAUCCAUUAAAUUAAAUAAUAGGUUCAUUCCCACAAUAUCUUGAAUGAAUGUAAAUAAAAAAGGUAUCACAAAAAAAAUCUUUAUUUUUGUUAAAUUAGAUUCUAAAACUAGUAAUUUCUAUUAUCAUUUUUAGUUUUUACAAUUUGGCUUUCCAUAUUUUUAAAUAAAGUCUCAUCCUUGUAGCUAGAUCAAGAUUUGUAUCUCAAAUCAAUACUUUUUGGCAUUACAACUAUGGAGUCCAAUUAUUUUAUUCUUUCUUCGCUUUUCUUUCAUCAAAUACGCUCUCUUACUCUUAUUUGUUAUUGAACGAUUAACCAAUAAAAAAAGGAUUCCAACAAAAAACUACUUCUACAACUAAGAAAAGGAAUUUUCUAGAUCUCGUGCAUCUACUUAAAUUGU
RNAcentral lists this long non-coding RNA (536 nucleotides) under Olea europaea subsp. europaea. Lineage: Eukaryota; Viridiplantae; Streptophyta; Magnoliopsida; Lamiales; Oleaceae. The record is from RNAcentral.